CGACCUCUGUCAAGGGCCUGUGGGUCCCUGACCCCUGGGUGAGCAAGGGCACUGCUCCCAUGGGCCUGGGCACUGUGCCAUCCUUCAGUGGGAAACAGGAGGUCCCCAGGGUCUGAGAGAACCAUGCAGUCCAGGCUUGAAAGGGGUCCUACAAGGCCAGCUGACCAUAGGGACCUUGGGACCACCAGGAAAUCAUGGGGGCCCUCGGCCAGGGGAUGGAGUCAGGGCUCCUUUGGCCUGUUCAGCCCAUCCAGCUCCCCUUUAACCCCAGGGAAGAAGUAGCUCAAGUGGAGACCCUGGGUCUGCAUGGGGGUCACGUGAGCUGCCUGUAGCCAGCAGGGGGGAGGGCUGGGUGCUGUCCUGAGGAUGCAGGUGCAAAUGUCCAUUUCUGGGCCACCUGUGUGUAUCAGCAUCUGCAGAGGGGCCUGGGGUCUGGCUUCUGGGGUUGGCACCCCCAGGGGCUCUGCCAUGGCUGCACAAGGUGGUGAUAUUUCCUCUGUGCCUGCUGGGUGUGGGGCAGUGCCACCCUGUCCCAUCCCACCUCAUCAGCACAGAAUGAAGCUGGUCCUAUACUCAUCAUCUGUGCACAUGAGGAAACUGAGGCCCCAAGAGGGGAGCCCAAGGUCAUAUUACUGGGGACCUGUGGGCUGGGGUCUGAGCCCAGCACUGUGGCUUCAAGCCCACAUCUGCCCUAGGAGGGCCCAGGAGGCCCUGUGAUAUCAAUACCCUGUGAUGACAGUCCCCUGUGAUGUCAUUCCCCCGUGGUGGCAUUCCCCCGCAAUGUUAUCCCCCGUGACAUCAUUCCCCUGUGAUGUCAUCCAUGUGACAUCAUUCCUGUGCUGUCACCACCUGAUGUCAUCCCCUGUGGUAUCACCUCUGUGAUGUCAAUACCCCUUUUAAUGUCAUCCCCAUGAUGUCAUUCCCCCCGUGAUGCCAUCCCCCAUGAUGUUAGUCCCCCAUGAUGCCAUCCCCCCAUGAUGUUAGCCCCCGUGAUGUCAAUUUCCCAUGAUGUCAUCCCCGUAAUGUUAUCCCCCAUGAUGUCAUUCCCCCAUGAUGCCAGUGUGAUGUCAUUCUGUGAUGUCACCCCCCAUGAUGCCAUUCCCCUGCAAUGUCAUGCCCCUGUGAUGUCAUCCCCCCAUGUGAUGUCAGUAUCCCAUGAUGUCACCCCUGUGAUGUCAUGCAUGUGAUGUCAUCCCGUGAUAUCAUUCCCAUGAUGUCUCCCCCAUGAUGUCAUUCCCCAUGUGAUGUCACCCGUUAUGUCAUUCAUGUGACAUCAUCCCAUGAUAUCAUUCCCGUGAUGUCUCCCCUAUGAUGUCAUUCCCCAUGUGAUGUCAAUCUCCCACGAUGUCACUCCUCUGACAUCAUCCUCUGUGAUGUCUCGCCCAUGAUGUCAUCCCCCAUGGCGUCAUCCUUGGUUGUGGGGGGUUGUGGGAUCCCCUCCUCUCCCCUCCCGUGGGGUCUUCCUGGCUGGUGGGGAGAGGUGGCCUGGCCUGGGUGCUGCAGCAGCUGCUCUGGAAGGUGCCUGGGUUCUUGGGGGCCUUGGCCCAUGCCAUCCCCUGGACUGUGUGGAGCCGUCCAGGGCCCAGCUUCUGUUGGGGGGUGGGCACAAGUCAGAAUCAAGUGCAUCUGGUCAGAUGCUGCCAGGGCCAAGGAUGCAGCUGCCUGUGGCCUGGCCUUGGUGUGGAGCCAGAGUCUUGCUCAGGGACUGAGGGGACCCAGAUGGUGGGGAAGGCUCCGGAGCAUGUGACCGGUGACCAUCCUGCUGUGGACAGACCUCCUGGGCUGAGUGUUGGUCGGGCCCGGGCCAUGCACCUAGACGAUGUCCUUUGACCAAUGGGGAGGGUCUGGGGCUGGGUGUGGCUGUGUCCCUUGGCUGCUGGGCCAGUGUGGUCCAGGGCACUCUAGGGACUCCCUGUGUUCUGACUUGAGUGGAGCUCUUCAGGCUGAAGGGGCAGUGGCCCUGUGUCUCCUCGGAGCUUGCAGGUCCUCUCGGAGGCCCAGAGGGAGCCAGAGGAGGGCAGAGUCACUGCUACCUCCUCAUGGUAUGGAAUUGACUGAGCCCAUGCUGGGGUCUGGAGGCCCCAAAGGAAUGAGGCCUGUGGCCAGGGGCCGGCCCAGGAGCUGGGGUGGCUUUCAGGGGAGAGGCUGGCAGUGCUGGGAGGUAAGUGGUGAUGUGCUCGGCAGCCUCAGUGCUCCCUUAGGAGGGUCUAAGAUCCCACCUCGAACCUUUCUGGGCUAUCCAGAGCCACGAAGAGGGGCCAGGUGGCCUUGGUGUGUGGGAUUAGGUGCUCCAGCCCUGCCUGGAAGUCCCUUGGGGGCUGGGCCACAGCCAAGAAGAGUACUGUUGUGCCUGUGCUAAGGCCACUGUACGUGCAGAGCUGGACCCAGAACCUUGUCCAAGGUCCCCGGGCAGUCUCACCAGGAGGUGUCUAGAGCUGGCCACAUGGAGUGGCACGCCUCCAGGGUGGGGGACUGUGAGAAGACAGUGGUGUGGGCCCUUGGUCUGUGCCUCCCAUGGGACGGCUGCUUCAAUAGCAUCUGUGCCCACUCCUGCCCAUAGUCCACCCACCGCUGACCCCUGGACUUGGCUGGCAGAUUUUCACACCUUCUCCUGGGGGCAGGCCUCAGCUUGUCCCCACCCCAGUCAGAGCCAGCCUCACUCCCUGCCUCAGGCAGCUGUGUAUGUUUUAAUUUUAAUUUAUUUACAUAUUAAUGAGACAGAGUCUCACUCUGUCUCCCAGGCUGGAGUGCAGUGGCACCAUUUUGGCUCACUGCAACCUCCACCUCCUGGGUUCAAGCCAUUCUCCUGCCUCAGCCUUCCGAGAAGCUGAGAUUACAGGCGCUCGCCACCAUUCCUGGCUAAUUUUUGUAUUUUUAGUAGAGACGAGGUUUCACCAUGUUGGCCAGGCUGGUCUUGAACUCCUAACCUCAGGUGACCUGCCUGCCUCUGCCUUCCAAAGUGCUGGGAUUACAGGCAUGAGCCACCACCUAUAAUUUUAAUUUUUAACAAAACUGAGAACUUGAGGAUUGAAUUCAGGUAACGGGUGGUCAUGUGGACGUGGAUUCCAUGAAAGAGGGCUUUGUCCUCACUGUCGGUUCUCCACACGUAGGUCCUUUGACUCAGCAGACCUUAGGCCUAGUCCACAGGUGCUGAGUGAACAGCCCCAGCAUCUGACAGCUCCUUAGCUUGGGGUGCACAGGCCGCUGAAGCAGUAGGAUGGCAGCUCAGGCUUCCCAGGGCCCCACGUGUGCAGGGGUGGCCUCCCAGCACCACCAGGCAGGGCCCUGUGAGUGUCCCCUACCUGACACACACCUUGUAGAGAGGCUGGGCCUGGGCAGGCCCCUCUGCUGCACCACAUCCCAUUCUCAAGAGGGUCCCGGGUCCCAAAGGAAGCCUGUAGCCCAGUGGCUUUCUGGAGGUUUGCAUGGCUGGCAAGCCUGGGCCAGCUACUGGAGAGGCAUCAGGACAGGAGCAACUCUGCUGACUGCUCCCCUCAGCGAGCUCUAAGAGUCUUUAGGUGGGAGGCACAUCACAUCCCUGUCACUCCUGGCUGGCCCUGGAAUGCCUCAGCCCGCACACCCCACUCCAGCCAGGGCUGUGGGAACUGUGUCUGCUCAGGUGCAAAAGGCUUUGUUUGCUCUUGGACUUCUUGGUUCUGACCUGGGCUUCCCGCCUCCUACGCUAUGAGCCCACACAGGCUGGGACCGCAGCUUGCCAUAUGUCUCUCAGUGGCACCAAGUGGACGCUCGAGGCUUAUGUUGAGGGAGUGAGAGCCAGGAUGGGCCACUGGGCGUGCUGGGAGCCUACACAGGCAGGGAGCCCAGCAGGAGGUUCCCUGCUCCUGCCAGUCCUGGUUACCCCAGCAGGCUCGGGAGCCACUCACAGCCCCCACUUCCACUCCCCAGGCACUCCCCGUGUGCCUACCUGCCCUUGUCCUGGGCCAGCUUGGCUCCUACCUCCCAGCUCUGAGGAGGCCUCUGCAGGUAGCUGACCUCCCUGGACAAGGGGGCAGCUGCCUUCUCUCACCUGGGCUCCCUGGGGAGGGCUGGAAUAGAAGGGCCAGGCUGGGCUCACUGUGAGCCAGGUCCUCUCAACCCAGGAUGAAUGGCCUUUCUGAAGGCCCAGAGAGCAUGCCUGCCCCAGUGUGGGAGCUGCGUCUGCUCCCCACCUGACAGUGUUGGCCAAGAGCCCAGCGUUCCUGGAGGGCUCCCAAACUCUGGACCGGUCCCUAAGGGAAAAGCCUGACUCUAAGCCCCAGGUGGCUGAACCCAUCACUGCCAGGGCGAGCUGUCACCUCUGUGAGCUGAUGAGGCCCUGCUUUUAGGACCUCUAAUCUCUGCAAGAACCCAAGCUGGCUCUGCCUGUCUCUCCUGAGCAGCUCGCAGUGUUCACCACACUCCAGCACGACUCGGGACAGGCACGUGCGCCCCUCUAUGCACCAGCUGGAGUCCCUCAGGACACCUGGCUGGAGCUGACGGGCAUGGGCGGGUGUGUGCAAGCAUGAGCCCGCAGGUCUGUGAGCUUCGUCUCCCUUUCCUUCUUCGCAGUGUACUAAUGGUCACUUGAUGUGCGCUGGCUGUUUUAUCCACCUACUAGCAGAUGCCCGGCUGAAGGAGGAGCAGGCCACGUGCCCCAAUUGUCGUUGUGAGAUCAGUAAGAGCCUCUGCUGCCGGAACCUGGCCGUGGAGAAAGCCGUGAGCGAGCUGCCUUCAGAGUGUGGCUUCUGCCUGCGCCAGUUUCCCCGCUCCCUCCUGGAGAGGCACCAGAAAGAGGAAUGCCAGGACAGGGUAACCCAGUGCAAGUACAAACGCAUCGGCUGCCCAUGGCACGGCCCCUUCCACGAGCUGACGGUGCACGAGGCUGCGUGCGCCCACCCAACCAAGACAGGCAGCGAGCUGAUGGAGAUCCUGGAUGGGAUGGACCAGAGCCACCGCAAGGAGAUGCAGCUGUACAACAGCAUCUUCAGCCUGCUCAGCUUCGAGAAGAUUGGCUACACAGGUGAGGCGCCCUGCCACCUGCUGCAUGCCACACAGGUGUGGGCCUGGGGGUCUGGCAGCCAGGAUCCUGGGGGUAGCAGGCUCUGGGCACUGGGCACUGACGGCUCCGGACGGCCGGGCUCUGGACAAGCUCCCGGUGGACAGGCGGACACCUCGGGCGAGAAGACAGGCCGGAGACUGAGCAGAAGGAGGGGCUGAGGCAGACCCCAGGUGCACACCUGCGUGGCUCUCACAGCAGCCCCGCCCACCUGUCCUCCCCACCCUGGCUUCAUCACCCCUGCAAGGUGGCAUCUCACUGUGGGGCUCCAGAGCCUCAAGACAGUCAGGGUCUAAUCAGAAAGUGGGCCAGUCUCAGGGGGCCUGGGAGCUAGGGGCCUGCCCCUUGGACCCUGGGGCAAGAAGAGCACCCGGCUGAGUGAGGUCCUGCCUGCAGGCAGUCACUGCCCCAGCCGUGGGCCUCUCAAGGCUGGCACGAAGCCGUUCAGGGACAGGGCUCCAGAACAAGCUGAGGGUGCCCGACUCAAACUGUAGAACCGGGAGUGGACACCCACAGACGCACAGGCUGGAUGCGUGCACAGGCACACUGGAUCUCGUGGCUCUCUGGGCCACUGCCACCGCCUUUGAACGUGUCGGGGAGCAGAAGCCAGGCCAGAGCCUGGCCCAGAGGACAGCGAGAAGCACCUGUUGAUGCUGGGGCCACUGGAGGAAGCUCCAUCCCUCUACUCUCAACCCACACCAGGCGGCCAGCUCAGAGCACCAGGCGUGGCACAAGCAGGGUGGUCGUGGGCAGCCAGUCCCGCCCUGCUGCCUGGACUGUGCCCAGCGGGAUGUGGGCCCGAGCGGGCCAGAGAGGCCGAGGGCCUGGGGUCUCUGCAGCAGCCACAGCCCGUGGUGAGUAGCAGCCUUAGCUGUCCUGGAGAUACCGGGGCCUCGUGGAGUCUAGGCAGGCUGGGGCACUGUGGCUGCGGCCGUGGCCAGGUGGGAAGCCCCAUUCGUGCAGGAAAGACUGGCCACCUGGGAACCCAUGCCUCCGCAGAGGGACUUGCCAGCCACAGGCUGUGGGCUGCCCAAGAGGACUGUGCAGACAGGGCUGCCUGCUGACUGGCAGCUCCGGAUCAGGCCUGGUGCCUGCAGACCUGGUGCUCCCCUCGGGCAGGGCUGGGUGCCGCAGCCGCCUGCUGGCUUUUCUGGCAGCUCCUCUGUAUCAGAACCAAUAAAGUGCACUUGUUCUCGGAACCGCA
RNAcentral lists this small RNA (6239 nucleotides) under Pongo abelii (Sumatran orangutan). RNAcentral's name for it is "retained intron". The record is from RNAcentral. Lineage: Eukaryota; Metazoa; Chordata; Mammalia; Primates; Hominidae.